RNAcentral lists this ribosomal RNA (549 nucleotides) under uncultured bacterium. RNAcentral describes it as "bacterial SSU rRNA". It matches the Rfam family "Bacterial small subunit ribosomal RNA", at positions 777 to 1314 of the family's 1533-position model. The record is from RNAcentral.
AAUAGAUACCCGGGUAGUCCACGCCGUAAACGGUGGGCACUAGGUGUGGGCGACAUUCCACGUCGUCCGUGCCGCAGCUAACGCAUUAAGUGCCCCGCCUGGGGAGUACGGCCGCAAGGCUAAAAACUCAAAGGAAUUGACGGGGGCCCGCACAAGCGGCGGAGCAUGUGGCUUAAUUCGACGCAACGCGAAGAACCUUACCAAGGCUUGACAUACACCGGAAACGUCCAGAGAUGGGCGCCCCCUUGUGGUCGGUGUACAGGUGGUGCAUGGCUGUCGUCAGCUCGUGUCGUGAGAUGUUGGGUUAAGUCCCGCAACGAGCGCAACCCUUGUCCCGUGUUGCCAGCAGGCCCUUGUGGUGCUGGGGACUCACGGGAGACCGCCGGGGUCAACUCGGAGGAAGGUGGGGACGACGUCAAGUCAUCAUGCCCCUUAUGUCUUGGGCUGCACACGUGCUACAAUGGCCGGUACAAUGAGCUGCGAUACCGCGAGGUGGAGCGAAUCUCAAAAAAGCCGGUCUCAGUUCGGGAUUGGGGGUCUGCGUAACCG